Molecule: ribosomal RNA, 332 nt
Filed under: uncultured bacterium
Lineage: Bacteria
Description: bacterial SSU rRNA
Rfam family: Bacterial small subunit ribosomal RNA
Source: RNAcentral
AUCAUGGCUCAGAACGAACGCUGGCGGCAGGCCUAACACAUGCAAGUCGAGCGAGAACUUCGGUUCUAGCGGCGGACGGGUUAGUAACGCGUGGGAACGUGCCUUUCACUACGGAAUAGUCCCGGGAAACUGGGUUUAAUACCGUAUACGCCCUUCGGGGGAAAGAAUUUCGGUGAAAGAUCGGCCCGCGUUAGAUUAGAUAGUUGGUGGGGUAAUGGCCUACCAAGUCUACGAUCUAUAGCUGGUUUUAGAGGAUGAUCAGCAACACUGGGACUGAGACACGGCCCAGACUCCUACGGGAGGCAGCAGUGGGGAAUCUUAGACAAUGGGCC